GACGAACGCUGGCGGCGUGCCUAAUACAUGCAAGUUGAGCGAUGAAGAUUGGUGCUUGCCCCAAUUUGAAGAGCAGCGAACGGGUGAGUAACGCGUGGGGAAUCUGCCUUUGAGCGGGGGACAACAUUUGAAAACGAAUGCUAAUACCGCAUAACAACUUUAAACAUAAGUUUUAAGUUUGAAAGAUGCAAUUGCAUCACUCAAAGAUGAUCCCGCGUUGUAUUAGCUAGUUGGUGAGGUAAAGGCUCACCAAGGCGAUGAUACAUAGCCGACCUGAGAGGGUGAUCGGCCACAUUGGGACUGAGACACGGCCCAAACUCCUACGGGAGGCAGCAGUAGGGAAUCUUCGGCAAUGGACGAAAGUCUGACCGAGCAACGCCGCGUGAGUGAAGAAGGGUGUCGGAUCGUAAAACUCUGUUGGUAGAGAAGAACGUUGGUGAGAGUGGAAAGCUCAUCAAGUGACGGUAACUACCCAGAAAGGGACGGCUAACUACGUG
RNAcentral lists this ribosomal RNA (497 nucleotides) under uncultured bacterium. RNAcentral describes it as "partial 16S ribosomal RNA". It matches the Rfam family "Bacterial small subunit ribosomal RNA", at positions 28 to 507 of the family's 1533-position model. The record is from RNAcentral.